This 253-nucleotide ribosomal RNA is filed under the name uncultured bacterium. RNAcentral describes it as "partial 16S ribosomal RNA". It matches the Rfam family "Bacterial small subunit ribosomal RNA", at positions 524 to 776 of the family's 1533-position model. The record is from RNAcentral.
UACGUAGGCAGCAAGCGUUGUUCGGAGUUACUGGGCGUAAAGGGUGUGUAGGCGGUCUUCUAAGUUUGGUGUGAAAUCUCCCGGCUCAACUGGGAGGGUGCGCCGAAAACUGGGAGGCUAGAGUGCGGGAUGGGAGAGUGGAAUUCCUGGUGUAGCGGUGAAAUGCGUAGAUAUCAGGAGGAACACCGGUGGCGAAGGCGGUUUCCUGGCUCAUUACUGACGUUCAGGUACGAAAGCGUGGGUAGCAAACAGG